AGUGAACGCUGGCGGUAGGCCUAACACAUGCAAGUCGAACGGCAGCACAGUAAGAGCUUGCUCUUACGGGUGGCGAGUGGCGGGCGGGUGAGGAAUACAUCGGAAUCUACUUUUUCGUGGGGGAUAACGUAGGGAAACUUACGCUAAUACCGCAUACGACCUACGGGUGAAAGCAGGGGAUCUUCGGACCUUGCGCGAUUGAACGAGCCGAUGUCGGAUUAGCUAGUUGGCGGGGUAAAGGCCCACCAAGGCGACGAUCCGUAGCUGGUCUGAGAGGAUGAUCAGCCACACUGGAACUGAGACACGGUCCAGACUCCUACGGGAGGCAGCAGUGGGGAAUAUUGGACAAUGGGCGCAAGCCUGAUCCAGCCAUACCGCGUGGGUGAAGAGGGCCUUCGGGUUGUAAAGCCCUUUUGUUGGGAAAGAAAAGCAGCAGGUUAAUACCCCGCUGUUCUGACGGUACCCAAAGAAUAAGCACCGGCUAACUUCGUG
Molecule: ribosomal RNA, 492 nt
Filed under: uncultured bacterium
Lineage: Bacteria
Description: partial 16S ribosomal RNA
Rfam family: Bacterial small subunit ribosomal RNA
Source: RNAcentral